GACGAACGCUGGCGGCGUGCCUAAUACAUGCAAGUAGAACGCACAGUUUAUACCGUAGCUUGCUACACCAUAAACUGUGAGUUGCGAACGGGUGAGUAACGCGUAGGUAACCUGCCUGGUAGCGGGGGAUAACUAUUGGAAACGAUAGCUAAUACCGCAUAAUAUUAAUUAUUGCAUGAUAAUUGAUUGAAAGAUGCAAUUGCAUCACUACCAGAUGGACCUGCGUUGUAUUAGCUAGUAGGUGAGGUAACGGCUCACCUAGGCGACGAUACAUAGCCGACCUGGAAGGGUGAUCGGCCACACUGGGACUGGGACACGGCCCAGACUCCUACGGGAGGCAGCAGUAGGGAAUCUUCGGCAAUGGACGAAAGUCUGACCGAGCAACGCCGCGUGAGUGAAGAAGGUUUUCGGAUCGUAAAGCUCUGUUGUAAGAGAAGAACGGGUGUGAGAGUGGAAAGUUCACACUGUGACGGUAUCUUACCAGAAAGGGACGGCUAACUACGUG
This 505-nucleotide ribosomal RNA is filed under the name uncultured bacterium. RNAcentral's name for it is "partial 16S ribosomal RNA". It matches the Rfam family "Bacterial small subunit ribosomal RNA", at positions 28 to 507 of the family's 1533-position model. The record is from RNAcentral.